RNAcentral lists this ribosomal RNA (235 nucleotides) under uncultured bacterium. RNAcentral's name for it is "partial 16S ribosomal RNA". It matches the Rfam family "Bacterial small subunit ribosomal RNA", at positions 1268 to 1500 of the family's 1533-position model. The record is from RNAcentral.
CGGAUCUCUUAAAGCCGUUCUCAGUUCGGACUGUAGGCUGCAACUCGCCUACACGAAGCUGGAAUCGCUAGUAAUCGCGGAUCAGCACGCCGCGGUGAAUACGUUCCCGGGCCUUGUACACACCGCCCGUCACACCAUGAGAGUCUGUAACACCCAAAGCCGGUGGGAUAACCUUUAUAGGAGUCAGCCGUCUAAGGUAGGACAGAUGAUUAGGGUGAAGUCGUAACAAGGUACC